Molecule: ribosomal RNA, 492 nt
Filed under: uncultured bacterium
Lineage: Bacteria
Description: partial 16S ribosomal RNA
Rfam family: Bacterial small subunit ribosomal RNA
Source: RNAcentral
AGUGAACGCUGGCGGUAGGCCUAACACAUGCAAGUCGAACGGCAGCACAGUAAGAGCUUGCUCUUACGGGUGGCGAGUGGCGGACGGGUGAGGAAUACAUCGGAAUCUACUUUUUCGUGGGGGAUAACGUAGGGAAACUUACGCUAAUACCGCAUACGACCUACGGGUGAAAGCAGGGGAUCUUCGGACCUUGCGCGAUUGAAUGAGCCGAUGUCGGAUUAGUUAGUUGGCGGGGUACAGGCCCACCAAGGCGACGAUCCGUAGCUGGUCUGAGAGGAUGAUCAGCCACACUGGAACGGAGACAAGGUCCAGACUCCUACGGGAGGCAGCAGUGGGGAAUAUUGGACAAUGGGCGCAAGCCUGAUCCAGCCAUACCGCGUGAGUGAAGAAGGCCUUCGGGUUGUAGAGCCCUUUUGUUGGGAAAGAAAAGCAGCAGGUUAAUACCCCGCUGUUCUGACGGUACCCAAAGAAUAAGCACCGGCUAACUUCGUG